This is an RNA transcript of Arachis stenosperma, 2961 nucleotides long. RefSeq lists it as uncharacterized. NCBI's taxonomy places the organism in Eukaryota, Viridiplantae, Streptophyta, Magnoliopsida, Fabales, Fabaceae. The transcript has 17 exons. The record is from RefSeq and is a predicted model, not a curated record.
CUCGCGACAUAUCCCCGGCGAGGGAGUAGCGACCACCGCGAAGCCGAAAAUCAGUAAAGUGGGAAACAGCCAACAAACGCUCCAAAAGAGCGCCGCAUUCUGCCAGUCCCCAAGCCACGCUCUCUCUGCUAAUGGAGAACAUGCAGUACGCGGAGGAGCUGGUUCGGGAGUUCCUCGUCUUCCGAGGCUUCACCAACACUCUCCAAUCCUACGACUCUGAGCUCCGAACCGAUCUUGGAAAGGGCUUCCACGUCGAUAAGAUCCUCGACCUCAUCUUCUCCCUCUACGUUCCCAAAUUCCAAGCCGAUAGGCUUGUUGCCCUCCUCUCCUUCUUUAAGCACUACCUCUCCUCUUCUUCCGAAACCGCACUCCUUUCUACGCUCUCCAAAAUCCAAACUUCUCUUCUCCGCUUCUACGUCGUUCACGCCUUGCAAGCCAAUCGCAGGGACAGAGUCAUCGACUUCUUCGCUGUCCAUGGCAGUGACCUCUUGCAACGCUCACAGGAUUGGACUCGCUGGUUCGCGAUUCCUUAUGUUAAGAAUCCGAACCAGGAUCCUGAAUUUCGGGUUUAUUUCUCCAAGGAGUGGUAUGAGGCCUUGCAUCUUUCUGUCAGAAACUUCUUUAGCGAGAUAUUCAAUGGAACUCGGCUACCUGCACUGCUGAAGAUCAGUUCAGAGAUGAAUGCCACCAACGUACUCAAAAGAGAUAUCCUAAAUCUGAAUAUUAAAUUGGCGGAGCUUCAGGCUUUGCUUGAUGAGAAAGAGGCGAAGUUAUCACACUAUAGGAGUAUGGAAGGAAGCAUUAGUUCAUUGAGCAAUUUGCGGGAGGAAAGUUCUCAGAUGUCAAGAGGUUUUCCAGAGGUUUCCCCAACUGCUGUUCCACGAGCAGUUCAAACAGAAAUUAACCAAGAUUCAGUUGUGAAUGGAGCUGCAAAUAUUCAGUCUGAGUAUGUCAAUUCCAAGUCAGGUGAUAAUUCAACUGGGGUAUUGAAUGAUCGUGUUGGAAAUGGUGGAUCAGGCGAUACCAUGCAAACAGUUCAUGAAAGUCCAAGUAUAGAAAUUAGUGGAGAAGUUUGUGGUGAAGAAGAUUUUCCUGAUGUCAAAGUAGAGCACCAGGAGACGUUCUUGGGGCAUACUAGUCCAAUCAGCCGAUGUUGCUUCUCUGCUUCCGGGAACAAUAUCGCUAGUGCUUCACUAGAUGGAACUGUUAGAAUAUGGACAUAUGAUUCAUCAACUCCGGUGUCUAGAAAUGCAACCAUAUAUUGUGGCACGGAAAUUUUGUCUCUUGACUGGGAAUGUAAAUCUGACCGCUUGCUGUUAAUAGGUACAUCAGAUGGGUGUAUUAAGGCAUGGAAUGUAGAUGCAAAGAGAGUUGUUUGUGAUCUCAAUACAACUCAAGCAUUUCCAAGUGUCUUGGACAUAAAGUGCAGUCCCGUGGAACCUAUUUUUGUAUCUGCAGCAGCAUCUGGAGGUGCUGGUUCCAAUUAUUUUGACAACCUGGGUUUUGCUUCUCUCACUGUGUGGAACAUGAAGACGUGGAAACCCAUGACAGUCCUUCCUCUUGGAGAAGAUCCACCAGCUAUUACUUCUCUAUGCUUUAAUCACAAUGGAAAGAUUUUAGCUGCUUCUGCUGUUGAUGGAAUGAUCCACAUGUUUGACAUGUCUGCUGGCCUACAAAUUACUGGCUGGCCUGCACAUGAUUCUUCUAUCAGUUCUAUUCUUUUUGGACCGGAUGAGACUAGCAUUUUUAGCCUGGGCUCUGACAGGAAGAUUUUUGAGUGGAGUUUGCAAAAUCAAGGUCAAAUUCUAUGGUCAAGAGACUGCAGUAGGUUCUCUUACCCUCUGAAAGGUCCACAAUAUUGCAGACAUGAGAUGGCAUUAGAUGCAAGUGGGAGAAGACUCUUGGUAACGUCUAGUUCAGUUAGAGCCCCCAUAUACCAGGUUCAAGGUCAUUUAAAUGGUUGGAGAACACUUCCUCAUGGUGCUCCUAUUACUGCUGUGGAUUGGCAUCCUACCUCGCCCAUUUUCCUGACUGGAUCAGCUGAUAACUCUGUCCGAGUGACAUCUUUAUCAUAGCGUCACACGUUAGAUGUUAGAGGACUGAAAAAUUUUUUUAGUUUCGUGAUAAAAUCAUGAUGUGGACAAAAGAGGUUGGGUGAACCCUUCUCGCUUCUCUGACAAAGGAAUUGAAAGAGGUUUGGUGUUAUUGAUGAUGCUGGUUGUAAUUGCUUGAGCGAUGGUGGUUGAUUGUUGAUUACAUGGACUGAUUUGGCUAAGGAAAGUGAAAAAGAAGAGAGCUAAAGAAAACUGAAAGAAGCGCAAUGUGCAAUAUGUAAUGGGUAUUGUUUGUUGUGUAUAUUUAAGGUAAUUGUUUUGGCCCGGUCCAAUAUGUAUCAGAGGUUCACCAAGCGGACCCACAACCCGACUAUAUGAUGAGACGCCCAUCACAUGAUACGAUCUCCUAUGCGACGAUCUAGACAACUGGUAGAAGUUUCUAAGGGGAUGGGCCUAAGUGAGAGGGUCCACCCGAUGAAUGGGGAUAAAGAAUCCUCUGAUACGUCACUAUAACCCCAAUCCUGCCGCCUUAUCAUACAAACGCUUACUUUGACAUCGGAGUGUCCUUGCAAGUGGCCCACCGACGACUACUGGCAACAUACCUCACCUCAAUUCUCGCGCUCGGGUUUCGAUCCUCACCUCCACCGAUCCAACGAACUACCGAACAAUGGCGCUGUUUAUGGGGACCUAACGCGAGUUGAUGAUGGAGGCUUUUCGCCCAGUGGACGAGCUAGAAGAAAGGGGGUGGGGGACUGCCAGAGGCGUCGCCUCAUGAGUAGGAUGAGCACGGGAACCUCUCGGAGUCGCCGACCACCCUUUUUGACAAUUACUGCUCCCACGAGCAAUUCAUCUCGAAACAGUGGAUGACGGCCCAACUGUUCGGGUUAAGUUGCGAAAGUGCAACCUC